This 427-nucleotide ribosomal RNA is filed under the name uncultured Acidobacterium sp. RNAcentral describes it as "bacterial SSU rRNA". It matches the Rfam family "Bacterial small subunit ribosomal RNA", at positions 959 to 1385 of the family's 1533-position model. Lineage: Bacteria; Pseudomonadati; Acidobacteriota; Terriglobia; Terriglobales; Acidobacteriaceae. The record is from RNAcentral.
ACGCGAAGAACCUUACCUGGACUCGAAAUUUUGUUGACCGUCUCAGAGAUGAGACUUUCCCGCAAGGGACAGCAGAAUAGGUGCUGCAUGGCUGUCGUCAGCUCGUGUCGUGAGAUGUUGGGUUAAGUCCCGCAACGAGCGCAACCCUUACCCUUAGUUGCUAAUCCGCAAGGAAAGCACCCUAAGGGAACUGCCUGGGAUAACCAGGAGGAAGGUGGGGAUGACGUCAAGUCCUCAUGGCCUUUAUGCCCAGGGCUACACACGUGCUACAAUGGCCGGUACAAAACGUCGCAAACCCGCGAGGGGGAGCCAAUCGCCAAAAACCGGUCUCAGUUCGGAUUGCAGGCUGCAACUCGCCUGCAUGAAGCUGGAAUCGCUAGUAAUCGCGUAUCAGAACGACGCGGUGAAUACGUUCCCGGGCCUUGUA